GUCUAUGGCUAUGCCACCCUGAACAAGCCUGAUCCUGUCUGAUCUCAGAAGCUAAGCAGAGUCAGGCCUGGUUAGUACUUGGAUGGGAGACCACCUAGGAAGAAGACCAGGUGCUGUAGACA
Molecule: ribosomal RNA, 122 nt
Filed under: Pteropus alecto (black flying fox)
Lineage: Eukaryota; Metazoa; Chordata; Mammalia; Chiroptera; Pteropodidae
Source: RNAcentral